GAUCAACGCUGGCGGCGUGCCUAACACAUGCAAGUCGAACGAUGAAGAUUAAAAGAUUUCUUCGGAAUGAACUUAAUUGGAUUAGUGGCGGACGGGUGAGUAACGCGUGAGUAACCUGCCUUGUACAAGGGGAUAGCCGUUGGAAACGACGAAUAAUACCCUAUGACAUCAAAUAAUCGCAUGAUAAUUUGAUCAAAGAUUUAUCGGUAUAAGAUGGACUCGCGUCUGAUUAGCUAAUUGGUAGAGUAAAAGCCUACCAAGGCAACGAUCAGUAGCCGGCUUGAGAGAGUGUACGGCCACAUUGGGACUGAGACACGGCCCAGACUCCUACGGGAGGCAGCAGUGGGGAAUUUUGCACAAUGGGGGAAACCCUGAUGCAGCGACGCCGCGUGAUUUAGAAGGCCUUCGGGUUGUAAAAAUCUUUUGUAUGGGAAGAAAAUGACAGUACCAUACGAAUAAGGACCGGCUAAUUACGUG
Molecule: ribosomal RNA, 477 nt
Filed under: uncultured bacterium
Lineage: Bacteria
Description: partial 16S ribosomal RNA
Rfam family: Bacterial small subunit ribosomal RNA
Source: RNAcentral